GGCAGUGUGGUAUAGUGGUUUGAGCAUUGGACUAUGACACUAGAGAACAGGGUUUGAAUCCUUGCUCAGCCA
This is a non-coding RNA of Phrynosoma platyrhinos (Desert horned lizard), 72 nucleotides long. Lineage: Eukaryota; Metazoa; Chordata; Lepidosauria; Squamata; Phrynosomatidae. The record is from the annotation of a GenBank genome assembly.